RNAcentral lists this long non-coding RNA (876 nucleotides) under Marmota monax (woodchuck). Lineage: Eukaryota; Metazoa; Chordata; Mammalia; Rodentia; Sciuridae. The record is from RNAcentral.
CAUGGCCAGUAGCUCGACCCCGGGUCUCUUCUCCAGGGCUUUUCCGGGCCCCGCGCAUCCUAGUCCUGGAACUCGUCGCCAAGGUGAAGGGGAUCUGCCCCUCGGAAGUCUCUAGGGAUGCUGAACAACAGUCCGGGGUCUCCCACUCCAGCCCUUUGUGUAAACCGCAACUCAGAACACAAGCAGUGGUUUCCUGAUUCCAAAAAAGGGCGUAGGCGUGGGCUCCCCUUGACCCAUCUCUUCAAAAGAACCUGGAAGCCAGAUUUCUACUUCAGGAUUUUUUUUUUUUUUUUUUUUUGAAGAAUUUUUCCUGUUAAAACUUAACUGUAGGUCAACUAGAAAAUUCAUAUGAGCAAAAAUCAUUUGAGAGUUCUCAAAAUCUGUACAUGUGUAUAAGUAUAUUAUCACUUUGUUUUUAGAAGGAAAUAUGAAUAUUAGUAUCACUUCUCCAUUUACCCAUUAAAAGUGAGUUAUGAAAUGCAUUUGGCAAGGUUAAAGUGCAGGAAUCUUAGGCUCCAUCACUUUUUGGGUAACUGCCACUCAAUGGAGAUAAAGAAUAAACUUUUUUAAAAAACAUGCUGAAAACGUUUACUUAUACCAAUUUUAAAAACAGCUAAAGCUCAUCGACAUUUAAUGAGUAUGAGGGAAAGUAUGUCUGUGUCCUUAAUUUUCUUUGCAUCCCAAUUUUUUAAAAAUAUAUAUAAGUAUAUUUUUAUAUAAAUACAUAUAGACAAUCUGGCUGGGUACGGUUUUGCAUUGUUGUCGCAGUCUAUCAGUCUCUUCAAGUGGAUAUUUCUAGGUCAGUGGCACAAUGUCUUUUAAUACUACCUGUCUUCUUACUCUUUAACUUUCUGAGAGGUGCUAAUGAUAAGCUGU